This 497-nucleotide ribosomal RNA is filed under the name uncultured bacterium. RNAcentral describes it as "partial 16S ribosomal RNA". It matches the Rfam family "Bacterial small subunit ribosomal RNA", at positions 28 to 507 of the family's 1533-position model. The record is from RNAcentral.
GACGAACGCUGGCGGCGUGCCUAAUACAUGCAAGUAGAACGCUGAAGAGAGGAGCUUACUCUUCUUGGAUGAGUUGCGAACGGGUGAGUAACGCGUAGGUAACCUGCCUUGUAGCGGGGGAUAACUAUUGGAAACGAUAGCUAAUACCGCAUAACAAUGGAUGACACAUGUCAUUUAUUUGAAAGGGGCAAUUGCUCCACUACAAGAUGGACCUGCGUUGUAUUAGCUAGUAGGUGAGGUAAUGGCUCACCUAGGCGACGAUACAUAGCCGACCUGAGAGGGUGAUCGGCCACACUGGGAAUGAGACACGGCCCAGACUCCUACGGGAGGCAGCAGUAGGGAAUCUUCGGCAAUGGGGGCAACCCUGACCGAGCAACGCCGCGUGAGUGAAGAAGGUUUUCGGAUCGUAAAGCUCUGUUGUAAGUCAAGAACGGGUGUGAGAGUGGAAAGUUCACACUGUGACGGUAGCUAACCAGAAAGGGACGGCUAACUACGUG